CUCAAGGGAACUCAGCAGUGAUAGACAUUAAGCCAUAAGUGAAAACUUGACUUAGUUAAAGCUAAAAGAGCCGGUAAAACUCGUGCCAGCCACCGCGGUUAUACGAGAGGCCCAAGUUGAAAGACACCGGCGUAAAGCGUGGUUAAGCUAAAAUUUAAAUUAAAGUUAAACAUCUUCAAGACUGUUAUACGUACCCGAAGACAGGAACCUCAAUUACGAAAGUAACUUUAUACAAGCUGAACCCACGAAAGCUAUGGCACAAACUGGGAUUAGAUACCCCACUAUGCCUAGCCAUAAACAUUGAUAGCACAGCACCCCUGCUAUCCGCCAGGGAACUACGAGCAACAGCUUAAAACCCAAAGGACUUGGCGGUGCUUUAGACCCACCUAGAGGAGCCUGUUCUAGAACCGAUAACCCCCGUUCAACCUCACCCUUUCUUGUUUUCCCCGCCUAUAUACCGCCGUCGUCAGCUUACCCUGUGAAGGACAAAUAGUAAGCUAAACUGGUACAGCCUAAAACGUCAGGUCGAGGUGUAGCGUAUGAGAGGGGAAGAAAUGGGCUACAUUCGCUAUUUUAGCGAAUACGAAAAGUGUACUGAAACGUACACUCGAAGGAGGAUUUAGCAGUAAGUAGAAAAUAGAGCGUCCUACUGAAACUGGCCCUGAAGCGCGCACACACCGCCCGUCACUCUCUCCAAAAUUAACGCCAAAUUAACUAAAACCUAAUAAACAAAAAGGGGAGGC
RNAcentral lists this ribosomal RNA (743 nucleotides) under Liparis gibbus (variegated snailfish). Its description in RNAcentral is "partial 12S ribosomal RNA". It matches the Rfam family "Bacterial small subunit ribosomal RNA", at positions 337 to 1456 of the family's 1533-position model. The record is from RNAcentral. Lineage: Eukaryota; Metazoa; Chordata; Actinopteri; Perciformes; Liparidae.